RNAcentral lists this long non-coding RNA (259 nucleotides) under Crocodylus porosus (Australian saltwater crocodile). RNAcentral's name for it is "lncRNA (ENSCPRG00005015149.1)". The record is from RNAcentral. Lineage: Eukaryota; Metazoa; Chordata; Crocodylia; Crocodylidae.
UAAACCUCAUUGUGAUAAUAAGGAACAAAAACUGUGUUCAGUUCUUAUACAGCAUGGUGUGUUCCAGUGCAAGCAGUUAGCACCUUCCAUCAAGCUUCAGGACAUUCCCAGGGUCAGAAGUCUCUAUCAGAAUGAACAUUAUUUCCCCUUGGACAGCUAAAGGCACAGCAGAGUAUGAUGCGGUAUUUGCAAGAAGCCACACUAGCAGUAUCUUUGCUCAUCCCCUCUGCCUUGAUAUUUCUUGAGAAGUGGAUUGCCA